This 253-nucleotide ribosomal RNA is filed under the name uncultured bacterium. RNAcentral describes it as "partial 16S ribosomal RNA". It matches the Rfam family "Bacterial small subunit ribosomal RNA", at positions 524 to 776 of the family's 1533-position model. The record is from RNAcentral.
GACGGAGGGCGCAAGCGUUGUUCGGAAUUACUGGGCGUAAAGCGCGAGCAGGCGGUUCGUUAAGUCCCCUGUGAAAUCCCGGGGCUCAACUCCGGAGUUGCAGGGGAUACUGGCGGACUGGAGACCGGUAGAGGCAAGCGGAAUUCCUGGUGUAGCGGUGGAAUGCGUAGAGAUCAGGAAGAACACCUGUGGCGAAGGCGGCUUGCUGGGCCGGUGCUGACGCUGAACCGCGAAAGAGUGGGGAGCGAACAGG